This 253-nucleotide ribosomal RNA is filed under the name uncultured bacterium. RNAcentral describes it as "partial 16S ribosomal RNA". It matches the Rfam family "Bacterial small subunit ribosomal RNA", at positions 524 to 776 of the family's 1533-position model. The record is from RNAcentral.
UACGAAGGGGGCUAGCGUUGCUCGGAAUCACUGGGCGUAAAGGGUGCGUAGGCGGGUUUUUAAGUCAGGGGUGAAAUCCUGGAGCUCAACUCCAGAACUGCCUUUGAUACUGAAGAUCUUGAGUCCGGGAGAGGUGAGUGGAACUGCGAGUAUAGAGGUGAAAUUCGUAGAUAUUCGCAAGAACACCAGUGGCGAAGGCGGCUCACUGGCCCGGUACUGACGCUGAGGCACGAAAGCGUGGGGAGCAAACAGG